GUUUGUUUGUUCUGAAGCCGAUUCAUCUUAUUCACUACUGAUUCCAUAACACCUGUAUCAGUGGUGCCACAAAGGAACAAAUGAUGAGUUACAGUCUUGUUUCUUCAAAAACCACCACAGGGAGAUGUCAGUAAGGGUUUGAGACUGGAAAGUGGAGGUGAGAAGAUUAGCCCAGAGAAGUGGACCAAAAAUGAAUGCUUUAAUAAACGUCUUCCUAAAAGUCUCAAGAGAAAGGCAGAUGGAGCGAUUCCCUUAGCCAGAAGAGACCCGACCAAGCGGCAGAGAUGACGGACUGACGUCUAGGGAAGGGGCUCACACCUCUAAGUCCUUCCCCCCACCCCCACCCCCUUUCAAAUUUGGCCUGAAUCCUAGGUCAAAUGUGGCUCUUGGCCUUACGGUAGCACUGCCCUUGGGUCUGAAGGGGAACUCCACUGGAAGAUUCCAGAGACUCUCUAGGUCGGGAGAAAGGGAAAAUUCAAACUUCUGCCGUGCAACCUUGAGGGAACGGGAGUCCUAAGUGCUCGCUAGGUGAAGUCACCUCGGGUCUGCGCUCUUGGCCGCCUCCAAGACCUCCAGUCUCCUAAACUCGGGAAACCCAGGACCCCAGAGGUUAGGGUGAGAGUUUGAACCUCCCACCCUUGCGGACUGUGAACUUCCCGGAAUAUUCGGAAGGAGUUCUUUGGGUCCUCGGACUGUUGACCCGCGUUCAGAUCUGCAUCCUCUCAAGUUGAUGCGCCCAGGAUCCUGGGACUCUGCUCUUGAACUCCGGUGUGGUGUCUUGCGGUGAAACCCAUUCCCAGUGGUUGUUUCCCUGCUGGGCCUUGGCUAAGAGGCUCUCUUGACACCACGAAGGAUGACGAAGCUGGUCUGCGGCAGCCCCUCUCCCCUAUUCUCCGCACUCUCUGGUGGGCGUCACUGUCCAGGAAACAGGAGUCCCGAACUGACACCUUGGUGCAGAGGGGCCACGAGAGAAAUCUCUACCCUGCCAAGAAGCUGCUGCAUCACAGUGCUCCCAUGGUGGAGCCACUGUCUACAGAAGCAUCAUGGGAGCUGUUAGGAGCAUUCUAGACCCACCUGUACUCGAGGAGCAUUCUCACCAGCAUCAGUGUGGAAAGACCAAAAUAGGAAGACAGUGUUGGGAACGUGGCCCUGACUGUCUCACCAUGAUCAACGGCAGGAGUCUCAUCCAGGCUAUUGUGGUGGUGUCCGUGGGUACCACAUAGCAUGGAGAGCUAGGUUCCUGCCACACAACGUGCCUCCAGACCUUGCUACCAUCGGCUCACCAUCGAGGAACACCUUUUUAUUUGGUGAGUAUGCAGAGGGAAGAGCCUUGACUCUGGAGACUUGGGGACCAAAGUCAGAGAGACCCUUAAGCUGGUUUUGUAACUCCCCUUAGAACCACAGAAUGCUAUGUGGCACCAAGGUCCUUGUUCUCACAGGUGAGCACCAGGGAAACAAGGAAUAUUAAGCACGCAGUGUUGUCUCUUCAAAGGAAGAGAUAUAUAACUGUUUUCCACCCAGAAGGCUGGGAGUGGAUGUGCUUAAUAUUCUACUGUCCUUCGUGCUAUCUUUUUGACCAAGACCGUGCCAGAUCCUCCCCCAAACUUAAGAUGUCACACAUAAUCAAUCAGAUGGGUGGUGGUGGUCCAAGCCUUUUAUUCCACAGGUCUUGUAUGGCAGAGGCAGAUGGAUCUCUGAGUUCGAGGCUAGCCUGGUCUACAGAGUGAGUCCAGGACAGCCAAGGCUACACAGAGAAAUUCCUGCCUUGAAAAACCAAAAAUAAAUAAGAUUUUCUUUAAAAGCUGUCAUGUGUACUCAAUCUACAGAACCCAUCUUUAUGGAGAUGUCACGUGUAUUGUUUUGAUGUAUUGGGCACACGGGAGUGUGUUAAUUAUCACCAGAACAUUGUUUCACCAAAUUAUGCUGGUGUCAGACUCUUGAAGUUUGAACCAACACUUAGCCGGGCGGUGGUGGCGCACGCCUUUAAUCCCAGCGCUUGGGAGGCAGAGGCAGGCGGAUCUUUGAGUUAGAGGCCAGCCUGGUCUACAGAGUGAGUCCAGGACAGCCAAGAUUACACAGAGAAACCCUGUCUCGAAAAUAAAACAAAGCAAAAUAAAAUAAAAGUUUGAACCAACCCUGGCUAUUGAGUCAUGUUGAACUAGACUGCCCUUUUCCCUCAUCUGGCAAAAAAAGAUCAUUACUCGGGUGGCAAUGGGGCUGAUGCGGUGGUACCUAUGGUGGUGGUAGUAGUGGCCUUGCCCGCUUGGGUAGUACUAGUGUUAGUGGUGCUGAUGGCGGUAGUGCUCGUAGGGGUGGUACUGGUGGUGGUGGCAGGGGCAUGGGCACAACUGGCGACCAAUGUGAGGGACUCAACUCUUAGAGAAGGUAAGAUUUUUCUUUUAAUAGACUCGGGUCUGGGUUCGGUCCUGUCACCAAGAGAUGACAACUGUAAGUAAGAAGGUAAAAUAAGCUUGGGUUCUUCUCAGCCCUCGGAGAUAAAGCAUUCUAGACAGUUACUGAUAAUGUUUGUUUAAGAACCAAAGGAAGAAAAUAUUGAGAGCAAUAGCUCUGCAAUGUGAUGUCUGUAAAAUUCAGUCCAUGGCUUCCUGACCGAGAACAUUGGAACUGCAACCAUGAGGUGGGGGUCUACAGAGAAAGUCCCAGGACAACAACUCUGUCUUGAAAAACCAAAAAAAAAAAAAAAAAAAAAAAAAGACAACCGGAAAUGCAUAGGAGCUAAUGUAAAAAGGGCCCGUGAAAGAGGAGAUAAAAUUCCCGUGCCAAUUAUUUCCCAAGCUGGAGCACAGUACUGUAUUGCUCGGACUCGGGAGGAUCAUUGAAAAAAGAAUUUUUGUUUCCUCUGCAGGCCAAGUGGACUCCACUGCUCCUGGAGGUCACCCAGGUCAGGGCAUGCUCAUGUUGCUGUCACAUCAUGUGUCGCAUCCAUCCAGCCACAUGCUCUCAGUCUUGCAAAAUAAGGAAUUUUAUCUCGUCUUCACAUAAAAAAUGGAGACUUUCUCACUUCAGGCCUUUCAGGCACUGAGAGACCAAAUACCACCCAGAUUCCUUGGUAUUUAUGAUUUCUAAAAUUUCAUUUUUUAAAAUUUACACUUUAUACAAUAUAACAAAAAAUUUAUGAAUAACAAUGUGAACAAGCUUCACAUGAAUUUAAGGGAAAAAAAGGGGGGGCAAAUUGGAAUCAAGAAAAUAUUUUAGAGUAUUUCUUCUGGAUAAUAUGGUGGCCAUGGACUGAAAAGAUAAUUGCAUAUUUCUCAAAUUUCUUUGGAAGGCAGAAGGAGUUAAACCAGAAAUGCAAUCAGUAUGAGUUAGAUUAUUUUAAAGUUUUUGCCUAAAAUUAUUUUUGGUAAAGACUAAGAACCUGUUAAAUGUAGAAAGAACUAGCACCUUCUGGAAGGUUCUUCUUCCGUGGAACUGGUGUACGCAUUUUUGUUUUGUUUACAGUACCAGCUAGACAUGUUCUUUCAUGCUUGCAUGGGAAAGCACAAUUGUUUUUUCCUUCAGGAUUUUCUGUGAUUGUUUCUCAGUACUUCUGAAUAUACUGUUAACCUAAUAGGAGAGUCUUCUUGAACUCAAAAUUAAAAUCGCCCUAAAUUUUAAAGAUCCCAAAUCUUACAUAAAUAGCCUUAGGUUUAAAUCUUUAAAAGUUAAUGACCAUUGCGAAUUAAGUAAGUUCUACUUUUUUGGUUUUGUGCUUCCCUGAGUCUGACAUCAAUGAUCAGACUCUUGACUAGGGAGGAAGUUAGAGGAGGCUCAUGCACGCCUAUCCUCUAUUGCAGGCUUAUUUCACACAGUAUUCUAAAACUGAUUAGUAGUGAGUACUUCUCACGUCAGCUUGACGUCUAGAACUAGGGCUGUCUAUGUCUGUAGCCUUCUCUUUCGGGUGCGCAGAGGCCUUGUGCUUGGUGUGCACCAAAGGCACACACAGUGCCUCCUGCUGAUUAGUCAGCUGCACAGCACAACUCCAGGCAGGACACGGGGUCCUGAGGGCUCCAGGAAAAUUCCAUGGUGUCAUAUCUAGAGCUUGAUUUUAUCAAAUAGUUCCUUAUACAUUUCCUUCCUAGGACUCCCAUUGCAACUGAAAAACUGAUAAUGAACCUGCUUGUACUAGCAAGCACUUUAAAAUUUUUUGCAAGGUAUGGAAUAUUAAUCGUGUUACUGUAAUUCCUUACAAUCGUCAGGGUCAAACUAUUGUAAAACAACACUAUCAAAUACUGGUACACCAGUUUAAAUCCCCACAAACUAUGCUACAUUUAGCUAUAUUAACUUUCCUUUUUCUCACUUUGAAAGAUAAUGCUUUUUCUGCUUCUGAUGAGCAUUUUGCCCUAAAGGAGACAUAACCUAAAGUAUAUGUUAAAAAACAAGAUCUAACUAACCACUAAAAAGGGCCCGAUGUUUUAAUAUCGAGGCAAGGCUUAUAUCUUACAGAAGAGAAAUGAAGUCCCAGAUGGCUCCUGCCCUGACAUAUCCAACAAGGACAGCAUCCCAGAGACCACCAGACUAACCAAGUGCCUACAGAUAGACGACAAAGCCAUCAAAAGGAGAUGUCCCAAGAAGAAGAGGAAGCCAAUAACUUGGGGGAGACAUCAAGACUUUAACUUGUCAAGCCAAGACUUUGGGGAAACAAUAAGGACAUAAUACUACUGACCCCCCAAAACAAUGCUGUUAUGUUUACUGACUAUAUAUUACCAGUUAUUUCUCAGCUUGCCAGUGCAGAUUCCAAAUGCCUUUUGUCAGGGGGACUAAAAGACACCCCUGUAAGGGGAGAGAAUAUGAUGUUGUUUUGCUAUGCUAAAAACUGUUUUUAUCCCUUGGGACCAGUUGUCUGGACAAAAGAAAGUAUACAAAUAUCUAGUCACAUGCAUGGGGGAUAUUUCGGUUGGACUAAUCUAACUGAUUAAUCCAAAUGUAAUAAUACAGAUUUUAACAUAAUAUCUGUGCUCUUUAGAAGGUUCUGAUAGUGGAAAUUAUAAUUGUAUGAAGAUGAAAAAGAAUAUCUGAUGUAUUGCUUACUAACGUUGAACCAGCACCAUCUGCUGGUCAUGUUAAAUCCAACUGCAUUCUUGCCUAUGGGUGAGGUUUUAUUUUAGAUCCAUACCCUGAAGUUUUCUGUGCCAUGUGCCACCAUCCUCUUCCCCACCUUAAUACAUUUUAAAGUGUGCUGCCCGCUUGUUCUUGCCUUCCCAAGCCAGCCCCUCCACCUUCUCCUUCUGCAGUAAACUCCC
Alexandromys fortis (reed vole) is the source of this 5243-nucleotide long non-coding RNA. RefSeq lists it as uncharacterized. NCBI's taxonomy places the organism in Eukaryota, Metazoa, Chordata, Mammalia, Rodentia, Cricetidae. The transcript is spliced from 7 exons. The record is from RefSeq and is a predicted model, not a curated record.